AGUUAAUUAGCUUAUUGAUAAAGCUCAUGUUUUGAAAACAUAGGACAGAAGUUUAAUUCUUCUAUUAACUU
This 71-nucleotide transfer RNA is filed under the name Styloperla sp. YZD-2015. RNAcentral describes it as "tRNA-Ser". It matches the Rfam family "tRNA". Rfam says of the family: Transfer RNA (tRNA) molecules are approximately 80 nucleotides in length. Their secondary structure includes four short double-helical elements and three loops (D, anti-codon, and T loops). Lineage: Eukaryota; Metazoa; Arthropoda; Insecta; Plecoptera; Styloperlidae. The record is from RNAcentral.